CAAAGGAUAGUUUAUAAAAAAUUCCGGUUUUGGGGACCGGGGAUGAAGGUGUAAGUCCUUUUCUUUUGA
This 69-nucleotide transfer RNA is filed under the name Emydura macquarii (Murray river turtle). RNAcentral's name for it is "tRNA-Pro". It matches the Rfam family "tRNA". Rfam says of the family: Transfer RNA (tRNA) molecules are approximately 80 nucleotides in length. Their secondary structure includes four short double-helical elements and three loops (D, anti-codon, and T loops). The record is from RNAcentral. Lineage: Eukaryota; Metazoa; Chordata; Testudines; Chelidae.